CUUUCGGGUGUGUACUGGCUAACCCAGGCUUUUACGGCCGGUCUAUCCCCCGUUGGUCUUCACCGASUGCGGGCCGGGAUGGCUGGCGAUUUUACUUUGAACAAAUCAGAGUGCUUAACACAGGCKUUUCGCUUGAAUGUUCGUGCAUGGAAUAAUAGAAAAGGAUUUCGGUUCUAUUUUAUUGGUUUUAUAGACUGAGAUAAUGGUUAACAGAGACAAACGGGGGCAUUCGUAUUGCUGCGUGAGAGGUGAAAUUCUUGGACCGCAGCAAGACGAACUACAGCGAAAGCAUUUGCCAAGAAUGUCUUCAUUAAUCAAGAACGAAAGUCAGAGGUUCGAAGGCGAUCAGAUACCGCCCUAGUUCUGACCGUAAACGAUGCCAACUUGCGAUCCGCCGGCCGAAUUAUCGCGCUGGUGGGGAGCAUUCCGGAAACGAAAGUCUUCCGGUUCCGGGGGAAGUAUGGUUGCAAAGCUGAAACUUAAAGGAAUUGACGGAAGGGCACCACCAGGAGUGGAGCCUGCGGCUUAAUUUGACUCAACACGGGGAAACUCACCCGGCCCGGACACCGUAAGGAUUGACAGAUUGAGAGCUCUUUCAUGAUUCGGUGGUUGGUGGUGCAUGGCCGUUCUUAGUUCGUGGAGCGAUUUGUCUGGUUUAUUCCGAUAACGAGCGAGACUCUGGCCUACUAAAUAGUGUACGCAUUGCUGCUGUGCGUUCAGCACUUCUUAGAGGGAUUUUCGGUGUUCAGCCGCACGAAAUUGAGCAAUAACAGGUCUGUGAUGCCCUUAGAUGUCCGGGGCUGCACGCGCGCUACACUGGCAAAAUCAGCGUGCUUGUCCUGCGCCGAAGGGCGCGGGUAAACCCUUGAAAAUUUGCCGUGAUUGGGAUCGGGAAUUGCAAUUAUUUCCCGUGAACGAGGAAUUCCAAGUAAGUGCCAGUCAUCAGCUGGCGUUGAUUACGUCCCUGCCCUUUGUACACACCGCCCGUCGCUGCCCGGAACUGGGCCACUUCGAGAAU
Molecule: ribosomal RNA, 1018 nt
Filed under: Filenchus sp. ham.dashtestan
Lineage: Eukaryota; Metazoa; Nematoda; Chromadorea; Rhabditida; Tylenchidae
Description: SSU rRNA
Source: RNAcentral